UGAAUACGAGACGCUACGGCGUCGAAGCAGUCUAUGUCAUACUUCCAAGAAAAGCUUGCACUGUCAUAAACAAAUAAUGCCUGUACCAUAACCGACACAGGUGGGUAGGUAGAGUAUACUAAGGGGCGCGAGAUAACUCUCUCUAAGGAACUCGGCAAAAUGACUCCGUAACUUCGGGAGAAGGAGUGCCUUAAGAAAUUAAGGUUGCAAUAACAAGAUCCAAGCAACUGUUUAUCAAAAACACAGGUCUCCGCUAAGUCGUAAGACGAUGUAUGGGGGCUGACGCCUGCCCAGUGCCAGAAGGUUAAAGAAGUCGGUUAGCAUUAGCGAAGCUGGUAACUGAAGCCCUGGUGAACGGCGGCCGUAACAAUAACGGUCCUAAGGUAGCGAAAUUCCUUGUCGGGUAAGUUCCGACCCGCACGAAAGGCGUAAUGAUUUGGAUUCUGUCUCGGAGAGGGACUCGGUGAAAUAGACUUGUCUGUGAAGAUGCGGACUACCUGCACCAGGACAGAAAGACCCUAUGAAGCUUUACUGUAACUUGAAAUUGAAAUUGGACUUUACUUGCGCAGUAUAGGUGGGAGGCGUUGAGAAUAUUCUUGCGGGAAUAUUGGAGCCAUCAGUGAGAUACCACUCUUGUAAUGUUAGAUUUCUAACUUUGUAUCAUUAUCUGGUCAAAGAACAGUUUCAGGCGGGCAGUUUGACUGGGGCGGUCGCCUCCUAAACGGUAACGGAGGCGCACAAAGGUUUCCUCUGAACGGGUAGAAAUCGUAUCUAGAGUGUAAAGGCAUAAGGAAGCUUGACUGUGAGACCUACAAGUCGAGCAGGGACGAAAGUCGGUCUUAGUGAUCUGACGGUGCUGAGUGGAAAGGCCGUCACUCAACGGAUAAAAGUUACUCUAGGAUAACAGGCUGAUCUCCCCCAAGAGUUCACAUCGACGGGGAGGUUUGGCACCUCGAUGUCGGCUCAUCGCAUCCUGGGGCGGUAGUACGUCCCAAGGGUUGGGCUGUUCGCCCAUGAAAGCGGUACGCGAGCUGGGUUCAGAACGUCGUGAGACAGUUCGGUCCAUAUCCGGUGUAGGCGUUAGAAUAUUGAGAGGAGCCUUCUUUAGUACGAGAGGACCGAGAAGGACAUACCUCUGGUGUACCAGUUAUCGUGCCAACGGUAAACGCUGGGUAGCCAUGUAUGGAGAGGAUAACCGCUGAAAGCAUCUAAGUGGGAAGCCCACCUCAAGAUAAGUAUUGU
This 1242-nucleotide ribosomal RNA is filed under the name metagenome. RNAcentral describes it as "bacterial LSU rRNA". It matches the Rfam family "Bacterial large subunit ribosomal RNA", at positions 1564 to 2814 of the family's 2925-position model. The record is from RNAcentral.